CUACGGGAGGCACCAGUGAGGAAUAUUGCACAAUGGAGGAAACUCUGAUGCAGCAACGCCGCGCGGAGGAUGACGCAUUUCGGUGUGUAAACUCCUUUUAUAUGUCAAGAAAAUGACGGUAGCAUAUGAAUAAGCACCGGCUAACUCCGUGCCAGCAGCCGCGGUAAUACGGAGGGUGCAAGCGUUACUCGGAAUCACUGGGCGUAAAGGACGCGUAGGCGGGAUAUCAAGUCAGGUGUGAAAUCCUACAGCUUAACUGUAGAACUGCACUUGAAACUGGUAACCUAGAGUAUGGGAGGGGGAGAUGGAAUUAGUGGUGUAGGGGUAAAAUCCGUAGAUAUCACUAGGAAUACCUAAAGCGAAGGCGAUCUCCUGGAACAUAACUGACGCUAAGGCGUGAAAGCGUGGGGGGCAAACAGGAUUAGAUACCCUCGUAGUC
RNAcentral lists this ribosomal RNA (439 nucleotides) under uncultured bacterium. RNAcentral's name for it is "partial 16S ribosomal RNA". It matches the Rfam family "Bacterial small subunit ribosomal RNA", at positions 339 to 795 of the family's 1533-position model. The record is from RNAcentral.